Scylla paramamosain (green mud crab) is the source of this 446-nucleotide long non-coding RNA. RefSeq lists it as uncharacterized. The record is from RefSeq and is a predicted model, not a curated record. The transcript is spliced from 2 exons. NCBI's taxonomy places the organism in Eukaryota, Metazoa, Arthropoda, Malacostraca, Decapoda, Portunidae.
GCGGAGACGGACGUUGCCAGAAUAUCUCCCUGUUAAGUCCGUGUUUCUUUUUUUCUCUUUUUUUCUGUGUUUGCGUGUGUGUGUGCCCACGUCAAUGAACUGACCAUUAGGAUAACCACAAAGCAUAGUUCCCCCGGUGCUAUGAAGGCGUGGACUCCCAUUUGAAACGUGAAAAGUGAAAAAUAACGUGGCCUUUGACUCGCGACUGGAAGAGUGACUGUUGCUGUGCCCCGUGGACCUGCUGCUGCUGCUGCUGCUGUGGCAGUGUGCGGUGCCUGUGGAGUGUGGUGCUUGGUGGAGGCGCAGAGCGAGGGAGGGGCGCGGCGCUGCUCUCCCGGGUAGAAAGCUGCUGAAGGAGAUGCCAUGCGCAGCCAGCCACCCCACCUCUCUCUCUCUCUCUCUCUCUCUCUCUCUCUCUCUCUCUCUCUCUCUCUCUCUCUCUCUCU